Phyllostomus hastatus (greater spear-nosed bat) is the source of this 642-nucleotide long non-coding RNA. RefSeq lists it as uncharacterized. The record is from RefSeq and is a predicted model, not a curated record. The transcript is spliced from 2 exons. Lineage: Eukaryota; Metazoa; Chordata; Mammalia; Chiroptera; Phyllostomidae.
CCCCUCCGCGCUCCCACUCUGCUCCGUACCCAACAGGCUUCUCCUCCCGUCCAGUCCCUCCGUGCCCGGCCCUCAUCCAAACGUUCCCCUCCCCCCGACCUUCGCACCCGCCCUGGCAACUGCAGCAUUGAGGAAAGCCGGGCCCCCUGCACUUGACUCCUUUUCCCAGUUUUGCAGGUGUCAUGGAACUUUUCCUGAUGGUUCUGCCCCACCCAGAAGCUGGGUGAAUGGUUACAAAGUUCUCUGCGGAACAAACAUGGUUCAGGGCGCAAAAAAUGUGGCAAUGAACGCCAAAGAAGAGCAUCAAUGCGGGGUGUUUAGAGUAACUAGCCUCCAGAGCAGCAUUGUGGGCCUGAAGACGUCCGUGGCUUCUGCAAUCUAGAACACGUGGAAGACUGAGAUUCCGGCGGGGGCGGGGGGGGGCACCUAAAGCAUCGGCCAAAAGGUGGAUGGCAGCAGUGUGUUACUGCAAUUACAUUAUAGGUUUGCCUCCAAACCAAAAUUACCCUGAUAAAACCAGGCCAACAGAUGUUCAUGAUACCUUGGUACACUACUGUUGAAUUGCUUAUCUUUUAUAAGUUGGGGUUACCACAUGGUAAGCUUUUUCUAUCUUUUAAAAUAAUAAUAGCAGUUACUGGUUAA